CGCUCCCUGCGGUGUUCGAGGCUGGUUGCAAUUUCUCUGAACCAAUGCAUACGUGCAAGGCUGCGCUCAUGUGCCCAAAGCGCCUUUGAUUGCGGCCGUCUUGAACCCAGGUUCAAGAGUCCGCAGCCAGUCACGGCACAGGCGGGGAGCCC
Molecule: non-coding RNA, 152 nt
Filed under: Thiobacillus sp. SCN 63-1177
Lineage: Bacteria; Pseudomonadati; Pseudomonadota; Betaproteobacteria; Nitrosomonadales; Thiobacillaceae
Description: 6S RNA
Rfam family: 6S / SsrS RNA
About the family: E. coli 6S RNA was the first non coding RNA to be sequenced, but its function was unknown until recently. It consists of 184 nucleotides that fold into an extended hairpin structure with a large single-stranded internal bulge.
Source: RNAcentral